AACCCAUAGUGAGAGAACCUUCUCAAAAGAUCCUUGUAUCUCUCCCAUGCAUCGUAGAGUGUUUCUAAAUCUAUCUGCAUAAAAGAAGAGAUAUCAUUACGUAAUUUU
Gossypium arboreum is the source of this 108-nucleotide small nucleolar RNA. It matches the Rfam family "Plant small nucleolar RNA R71". From Rfam's summary of the family: R71 is a member of the C/D box family of snoRNAs containing the C (UGAUGA) and D (CUGA) box motifs. Lineage: Eukaryota; Viridiplantae; Streptophyta; Magnoliopsida; Malvales; Malvaceae. The record is from Rfam.